UUCCCCUGCUGCCUUAGCAGUGGUUUCACCCUUUCCUUGCAAAGCUUCCCUGCAGGAUGGCUGAGGGCAUCCUGUGGAGGGGAGCAAGUCCGAGGAGGAGGCAGGCAGGGAGAGCAUCCCCCCUCCGAGCUGCCGCUGCUGCUGAAGCCGUGCAGGAGCCGUCGGUGUGGCUCCCCAGAGUUAGUUGCUCAGCAACCAGAAUCAAUUAAUAUGCUUUGCAGAAAGUGCAGGGGAAGCCCGCGCUGCUGUCAGCGAGAAGGCAGGAGGCUGAGGGUGACUCAGGAUCCCACCCCAACCUGACACCCAUUCAGUCCCACCCCAUCCUCUCCAAGCCCCGUGUUAGCUACUAUUCUUUAUCCCUUUUUCUUUCCCUACAAUGAUUUAGAGACUGUGCCCCCAAAUCCUUCAGGCAAGGCAGCUCCUUGCUCAAGAACUCCCCUGCUUCAAGGGUUUUGCUGUUAGAUCUCAUUUGGGGUUAUUUCCCAAGCUUUCUCCAAUGCUUUUCUAGAAAUUCUAAUGUUCAUGUUCACUGGGAAGGGAAAGGGACAGCUGAUGCUUUGAUCAGAUCAUUUAAAAGAUUCCUCAGGAUGAGAAGGGUUGUUUGGUAGCACACGGUUGGCAGCAGUAAUGAAAAUGCAUCAUGUGUGAAUUGGGAAAGUUUUUGUCUCUUCCUUUAUUACAGUCCCUCUGAUGACACCACGAAUCUGGGAAUGAAGAACUUCUUCGUGCUGAUUGGAAAUGGCAUUGCGGAGCUGAAACUUAACUGGCGGAAAUAUAUCUCCUGAAGAAGAAAAUAUAAUGCACUUUAAGGAUCUGGCUUCUGGUGAAAAAUUCAAGCCUAGAGAAAACUUGUCCGCUUUGUUAGGAAGAAUGGGUUGGACAAUUUUCCUCAAUUCCACAGGAUAUCUGAGUGCCAUGCUGAGCUUAAUCUCUGCAGCAUGCUCUGUGCUUCUCAUCUCUUCCUGAUGCACUGCAUGGUCAGCUCUUUAAUUGCAAGCUCCCUGAAGGGCCAUCUUCAGCACUACACAUUGUAUAUCCCUAUAUUGCUGAUACUGAACAGCAGUUCCUACCAGCUCUAUGGUAGAUGGCUACAACUUAUUUUUGCUCCUAAAAGAGAGCCCCGGAGAUGCCUUUGAAAUAGAAAAUGAAGUGUUGAGAUCUGAAAUGAUAGGAGAUAUUUUAACAUUUCAUUCCUUCAUCUAGCUGUUUCAGGUAAUGCUAC
Molecule: long non-coding RNA, 1222 nt
Filed under: Anser brachyrhynchus (Pink-footed goose)
Lineage: Eukaryota; Metazoa; Chordata; Aves; Anseriformes; Anatidae
Description: lncRNA (ENSABRG00000004168.1)
Source: RNAcentral